RNAcentral lists this ribosomal RNA (441 nucleotides) under uncultured Neocallimastigomycetes. RNAcentral describes it as "LSU rRNA". It matches the Rfam family "Eukaryotic large subunit ribosomal RNA", at positions 107 to 542 of the family's 3401-position model. The record is from RNAcentral. Lineage: Eukaryota; Fungi; Neocallimastigomycota; Neocallimastigomycetes.
GCUCAAAUUUGAAAUCUUAAAGGGUUUCCCUUUACGAAUUGUAGUUUAAAGAAGUGUUUUCUGUUGAGGUUUUGGUAAAAGUUCUUUGGAAUAGGACAUCAUAGAGGGUGAGAAUCCCGUAUUUGACCUUUACUCUCAACUUUGUGAUACACUUUCAAAGAGUCGGAUUGUUUGGGAAUGCAGUCCAAAAUGGGUGGUAAAUUUCAUCUAAAGCUAAAUAUUGGCGAGAGACCGAUAGCGAACAAGUACCGUGAGGGAAAGAUGAAAAGAACUUUGAAAAGGGAGUUAAACAGUACGUGAAAUUGUCAAAAGGGAAGCGUUUGACACCAGUGUUGUUUUUCUGAAAAUCAAUUAAAGGACUGUUUAUGCUAAGUUGUUUAGACUUUAUCAGCUAACUGUUUAGUUUUGAGCUUUUCUUUAAUGCACUUUUCAUUUAACAAG